Molecule: ribosomal RNA, 253 nt
Filed under: uncultured bacterium
Lineage: Bacteria
Description: partial 16S ribosomal RNA
Rfam family: Bacterial small subunit ribosomal RNA
Source: RNAcentral
UACAGAGGGCCCAAGCGUUGUUCGGAUUCACUGGGCGUAAAGGGUGCGUAGGCGGCCGGGUAAGUCUGCUGUGAAAUCCCGCAGCUCAACUGCGGAACUGCAUUGGAUACUAUCCGGCUAGAGGAAUGGAGGGGAGACUGGAAUUCUCGGUGUAGCGGUGAAAUGCGUAGAUAUCGAGAGGAACACCAGUGGCGAAGGCGAGUCCCUGGACAACACCUGACACUGAGGCACGAAAGCUAGGGGAGCAAACAGG